UCCUUGCACCCUGAUGGUAGCCAAUCUUC
Molecule: non-coding RNA, 29 nt
Filed under: Homo sapiens (human)
Lineage: Eukaryota; Metazoa; Chordata; Mammalia; Primates; Hominidae
Source: RNAcentral